GACGAACGCUGGCGGCGUGCUUAACACAUGCCAGUCGAACGGAAAGGCCCUGCUUUUGUGGGGUGCUCGAGUGGCGAACGGGUGAGUAACACGUGAGUAACCUGCCCUUGACUUUGGGAUAACUUCAGGAAACUGGGGCUAAUAUCGGAUAGGAGCUCCUGCUGCAUGGUGGGGGUUGGAAAGUUUCGGCGUUUGGGGAUGGACUCGCGGCUUAUCAGCUUGUUGGUGGGGUAGUGGCUUACCAAGGCUUUGACGGGUAGCCGGCCUGAGAGGGUGACCGGCCACAUUGGGACUGAGAUAGGCCCCAGACGCGUACGGGAGGCAGCAGUGGGGAAUAUUGCACAAUGGGCGGAAGCCUGAGGCAGCAGCGCCGCGUGCGGAAUGACGGCCUUCGGGUUGUAAACCGCUUUCGCCUGUGACGAAGCGUGAGUGACGGUAAUGGGUAAAGAAGCACCGGCUAACUACGUG
RNAcentral lists this ribosomal RNA (468 nucleotides) under uncultured bacterium. RNAcentral describes it as "partial 16S ribosomal RNA". It matches the Rfam family "Bacterial small subunit ribosomal RNA", at positions 28 to 507 of the family's 1533-position model. The record is from RNAcentral.